Long non-coding RNA from Tigriopus californicus, 721 nucleotides. RefSeq lists it as uncharacterized. The transcript is spliced from 3 exons. The record is from RefSeq and is a predicted model, not a curated record. Lineage: Eukaryota; Metazoa; Arthropoda; Copepoda; Harpacticoida; Harpacticidae.
UAUUCCUCUUGAUUCACCGGUGUUUGAGAGAAAAGACCCACACCUUCCACAACUUUGCGCUUUCGGGUCCAAUCCAUUUACUUCCAUUUGCGUUAAGCUCAUGAUAGCCGUUUUGGUCACAGUACUUGCCUUUUCCGUCGCCAAUGUGGGCUUUCUUAACCCAUCUUCCGUUCAAUCCCGAAAUCCUUUAACGGUCCCCCAAGGCGUUACCGCCCCUUCACCCCAAAUAAUAUUUAUACAGCCAUCUGUGGCUCCUGUAACCACCCCUAUUCCAACCACUCUCUCUCCAACCACCACUAUCACUACUACUACUCCUACCACGAGUGCUACUACCACAACCACCACCACUCCUGCGACAACUACAACUACAAUCAUCACUACAAUGAGCACGACCACGAUGGUAACGACAAGAGAGGCUGAAAUAGGAUUUCCGGGAUUUACGGACUGCGGUUUCCAAAAUUGCUUGUUUGAUGAGUUCACAGGCGUUUUCCAAAACGUAUCCAGCAUCUCAACCUGUUGUGCACUUUGUGGAGAAGAUGUUUUUUGUGGGAUAGGGUUUGAGGACUGUUUCUGCUUCAAAAGUUGCGCCCUGCGAAUUCCAACGCUCUGGUUAAUAGGAGCAACAAAUCAAGACUGCCCGGAAAUACCAUAAUUAGAACAAAUUUACGUAUUUUGCCCGAAAAAGUUAAUGCUUGCGGUGGUUGUACAAAUUUGAGCUUUC